RNAcentral lists this ribosomal RNA (433 nucleotides) under uncultured bacterium. Its description in RNAcentral is "partial 16S ribosomal RNA". It matches the Rfam family "Bacterial small subunit ribosomal RNA", at positions 29 to 507 of the family's 1533-position model. The record is from RNAcentral.
AACGAACGCUGGCGGCAUGCCUAACACAUGCAAGUCGAACGAUCCCUUCGGGGAUAGUGGCGCACGGGUGCGUAACGCGUGGGAACCUGCCCUUAGGUUCGGAAUAACUCAGAGAAAUUUGAGCUAAUACCGGAUAAUGUCUUCGGACCAAAGAUUUAUCGCCUUUGGAUGGGCCCGCGUUGGAUUAGCUAGUUGGUGGGGUAAAGGCCUACCAAGGCGACGAUCCAUAGCUGGUCUGAGAGGAUGAUCAGCCACACUGGGACUGAGACACGGCCCAGACUCCUACGGGAGGCAGCAGUGGGGAAUAUUGGACAAUGGGCGAAAGCCUGAUCCAGCAAUGCCGCGUGAGUGAUGAAGGCCUUAGGGUUGUAAAGCUCUUUUACCCGGGAUGAUAAUGACAGUACCGGGAGAAUAAGCCCCGGCUAUCUCCGUG